GAUGAACGCUGGCGGCGUGCCUAAUACAUGCAAGUCGAGCGAACGGACGAGAAGCUUGCUUCUCUGAUGUUAGCGGCGGACGGGUGAGUAACACGUGGAUAACCUACCUAUAAGACUGGGAUAACUUCGGGAAACCGGAGCUAAUACCGGAUAAUAUUUUGAACCGCAUGGUUCAAAAGUGAAAGACGGUCUUGCUGUCACUUAUAGAUGGAUCCGCGCUGCAUUAGCUAGUUGGUAAGGUAACGGCUUACCAAGGCAACGAUGCAUAGCCGACCUGAGAGGGUGAUCGGCCACACUGGAACUGAGACACGGUCCAGACUCCUACGGGAGGCAGCAGUAGGGAAUCUUCCGCAAUGGGCGAAAGCCUGACGGAGCAACGCCGCGUGAGUGAUGAAGGUCUUCGGAUCGUAAAACUCUGUUAUUAGGGAAGAACAUAUGUGUAAGUAACUGUGCACAUCUUGACGGUACCUAAUCAGAAAGCCCCGGCUAACUACGUG
Molecule: ribosomal RNA, 497 nt
Filed under: uncultured bacterium
Lineage: Bacteria
Description: partial 16S ribosomal RNA
Rfam family: Bacterial small subunit ribosomal RNA
Source: RNAcentral